GUGGGACUCAAGUGAAAUGGUAUCAGCUUCAGCUGCAACAACUGAGAUAUUUGCACUCUACAUGUACUAUUGUUGCCAGUUGUCUGUAUGUUUUACAGUCAUCCCAGCAAACAUGAGUUACCACAAUCAAACUCUUCUAAGAGAGAUUUCUUGGAAGUCAAAACUUGAGGGGAUCUACGCUGGCCUUUUCGUAGGCUCUAUUUCUGCAUUAAUCUCUGUUAAUUUGUUGGACAUGAAUGUGAUGGGAUUCGAACUAGUUUCAAGAUCAAUAUUAUCAGUGCGGUCAAUUUGCUGUUA
This is a long non-coding RNA of Prosopis cineraria, 297 nucleotides long. RefSeq lists it as uncharacterized. NCBI's taxonomy places the organism in Eukaryota, Viridiplantae, Streptophyta, Magnoliopsida, Fabales, Fabaceae. The transcript has 2 exons. The record is from RefSeq and is a predicted model, not a curated record.